CACGUAUGGGGCGAGCGUUGUUCGGAAUUAUUGGGCGUAAAGGGCGUGCAGGCGGUUCGGCAAGUCUGGUGUGAAAGAUCUCGGCUUAACCGAGGGGACGCGCUGGAAACUGCAGGACUUGAGUUCCGGAGAGGAAGCUAGAAUUCCAGGUGUAGGGGUGAAAUCUGUAGAUAUCUGGAAGAAUACCGGUGGCGAAGGCGAGCUUCUGGCCGAGAACUGACGCUGAGGCGCGAAAGCGUGGGGAGCAAACAGG
This 253-nucleotide ribosomal RNA is filed under the name uncultured bacterium. RNAcentral describes it as "partial 16S ribosomal RNA". It matches the Rfam family "Bacterial small subunit ribosomal RNA", at positions 524 to 776 of the family's 1533-position model. The record is from RNAcentral.